Molecule: non-coding RNA, 82 nt
Organism: Neoconidiobolus thromboides FSU 785
Lineage: Eukaryota; Fungi; Entomophthoromycota; Entomophthoromycetes; Entomophthorales; Neoconidiobolaceae
Source: the annotation of a GenBank genome assembly
GUCAAUUUGGCCGAGCGGUCUAAGGCGUUGCACUUAAGAUGCAAUCUCGAGAGAGGCGUGGGUUCGAACCCCACAGUUGACA